GGCCAGGCUGGUCUCGAAUUCCUGACCUCAGGUGAUCCACCCACCUCAGCCUCCCAAAGAGCCGGGAUUACAGGCGUGAGCAACUGCACCCAGCCUUAUUUUUAUUCUGAUGGAGACCUCAUCCAGGUUUUGCCCGCUCAGUAUGAUGUUGGCUGAGGAUUUGUCAUGGAUGGCUCUUAUUAUUUUCAGGCAUAUUUCUCCAGUGCUUAGUUUGUUGAGAAUGUUUUUAUAAAUGAGUAUUAGAUUUUCUUGAAUGCCUUUUCUGCAUGUGAUAAUUGUUUUUUAAAAAUUAUCUUUACAUGGUGAAUCACAUUUAUUUACUUGUAUAUGAUGAAACAUCUUUGCAUUCAUACAAUGAAGUUUACAUGAUUGUGGCAAAAUAACUUUUUGCUUUGCUUAUGAACUCAACUUGCUAGUACUUCAUGAAUUUUUGUUUCAAUUUUCACCAAGAAUAGUGACCGGUAAUUUUCCUUUUUUGUUGUGUCUUCACUAGGUUUUACUACCAAGAUAAUAAUGUUUUCAAAUAAUUUAGGAAGGACUUCCACCUUGAUUUUUGGAAUACACUCAGUAGAAUUAAUACCAGGUUAUCUUUGUAUAUGUGAUAAAAUGUGGCUGUGAACUCAUCUUAUCCAGGGCUUUCUAUGGUUGGUAGCUUGUUUUAUUAGUAAUUCAAUCUUAUUAUAUACUUUAUACAUUGUUGCUCUGUUCAAGACUUCUGUUUCUUUCUGGUUCAAUGCUGAGAAGCUGGAUGUAUCCAGGAGUUUAUCUAUUUUCUCUAAAUUUUUUAGUUUGCAUGCAUAGAGAUGUGCAUAGUAGUCUCUGAGGAUGUUUACUAUUUAUGUGAAAUUAGUUGUGAUAUCACAACUCUAACAUUUAAAUAGAUGCAGAAUAAAAGCUUGACAAAAUUUGGCUGGGUGCAGUGGCUCACACCUGUAAUCCCAGCACUUUGGGAGGCCGAGGCGGGUGGAUCACGAGGUCAGGAGAUCGAGACCAUCCCGGCUAAAACGGUGAAACCCCGUCUCUACUAAAAAUACAAAAAAUUAGCCGGGCGUAGUGGCGGGCGCCUGUAGUCCCAGCUACUUGGGAGGCUGAGGCAGGAGAAUGGCGUGAACCCGGGAGGCGGAGCUUGCAGUGAGCCGAGAUCCCGC
RNAcentral lists this long non-coding RNA (1148 nucleotides) under Homo sapiens (human). RNAcentral describes it as "HSALNT0396600". Lineage: Eukaryota; Metazoa; Chordata; Mammalia; Primates; Hominidae. The record is from RNAcentral.